This 810-nucleotide ribosomal RNA is filed under the name uncultured archaeon. Its description in RNAcentral is "bacterial SSU rRNA". It matches the Rfam family "Archaeal small subunit ribosomal RNA", at positions 85 to 879 of the family's 1478-position model. The record is from RNAcentral.
ACUGCUCAGUAACACGUGGCCAACCUGCCCUUGGGACGGAAACACCCCCGGGAAACUGGGGCUAAUUUCCGAUAGGUGAAGACUCCUGGAAUGGAUUUUCGCUUAAAGGGCGCCUAGGGCAUGCUCCUAGGCGUUGCCCAAGGAUGGGGCCGCGGCCGAUCAGGUUGUUGGUGAGGUAAUGGCCCACCAAGCCUUUAACCGGUACGGGCCGUGGGAGCGGUAGCCCGGAGAUGGGCACUGAGACAAGGGCCCAGGCCCUACGGGGCGCAGCAGUCGCGAAAACUUCGCAAUAAGCGAAAGCUUGACGGGGCCAUCCCGAGUGCCAUCUGCUGAGGAUGGCUUUUACCCAGUAUAGAUAGCUGGGGGAAUAAGGAGAGGGCAAGUCUGGUGUCAGCCGCCGCGGUAAUACCAGCUCUCCGAGUUGUAGGGAUGUUUAUUGGGCCUAAAGCAUCCGUAGCCGGCUGGACAAGUCCUCUGUUAAAUCCAGCGACCAAUCGUUGGUCUGCGGGGGAUACUGUCCGGCUAGGGGGCGGGAGAGGCCGUCGGUAUUCUUGGGGUAGGGGUGAAAUCCUAUAAUCCCAGGAGGACCACCAGUGGCGAAGGCUGUCGGCUAGAACGCGCCCGACGGUGAGGGAUGAAAGCUGGGGGAGCGAACCGGAUUAGAUACCCGGGUAGUCCCAGCUGUAAACGAUGCAGGCUAGGUGUUAGGGCGGCUACGUGCCGCUCUAGUGCCGCAGGGAAGCUGUUAAGCCUGCCGCCUGGGGAGUACGGCCGCAAGGCUGAAACUUAAAGGAAUUGGCGGGGGAGCAC